Long non-coding RNA from Ixodes scapularis (black-legged tick), 1374 nucleotides. RefSeq lists it as uncharacterized. The transcript has 21 exons. Lineage: Eukaryota; Metazoa; Arthropoda; Arachnida; Ixodida; Ixodidae. The record is from RefSeq and is a predicted model, not a curated record.
CGCCUAGGUCAAGCACAUCCAGUCUGCCGCUGUGAGCUACAGGGCAGCGCAGUCAAGAAGGAUUUCCCCACGCCUCGUCCAAGCACCAUCCAGUCUGCCGCUGUAAGCUACAGGGCAGCACGGUCAAGAAGGACUUCCCCACGCCUCGUCCAAGCACCAUCCAGUCUGCUGCUGUAACCUACAGGGCAGCACGGUCAAGAAAGAUUUCCCCACGCCUCGGCCAAGCACCAUCCAGUCUGCCGCUGUAAGCUAAGGGCAGCACGGUCAAGAAGGAUUUCCCCACGCCUCGUCCAAGCACCAUCCAGUCUGCCGCUGUAAGCUACAGGGCAGCACGGUCAAGAAGGAUUUCCCCACGCCUCGGCCAAGCACCAUCCAGUCUGCCGCUGGCAGCACGGUCAAGAAGGAUUUCCCCACGCCUCGUCCAAGCACCAUCCAGUCUGCCGCUGUAAGCUACAGGGCAGCACGGUCAAGAAGGAUUUCCCCACGCCUCGUCCAAGCACCAUCCAGUCUGCUGCUGUAACCUACAGGGCAGCACGGUCAAGUAAGAUUUUCCCACGCCUCGGCCAAGCACCAUCCAGUCUGCCGCUGGCAGCACGGUCAAGAAGGAUUUCCCCACGCCUCGUCCAAGCACCAUCCAGUCUGCCGCUGUAAGCUACAGGGCAGCACGGUCAAGAAGGAUUUCCCCACGCCUCGGCCAAGCACCAUCCAGUCUGCCGCUGGCAGCACGGUCAAGAAGGAUUUCCCCACGCCUCGUCCAAGCACCAUCCAGUCUGCCGCUGUAAGCUACAGGGCAGCACGGUCAAGAAGGAUUUCCCCACGCCUCGUCCAAGCACCAUCCAGUCUGCUGCUGUAACCUACAGGGCAGCACGGUCAAGAAAGAUUUCCCCACGCCUCGGCCAAGCACCAUCCAGUCUGCCGCUGGCAGCACGGUCAAGAAGGAUUUCCCCACGCCUCGUCCAAGCACCAUCCAGUCUGCCGCUGUAAGCUACAGGGCAGCACGGUCAAGAAGGAUUUCCCCACGCCUCGGCCAAGCACCAUCCAGUCUGCCGCUGGCAGCACGGUCAAGAAGGAUUUCCCCACGCCUCGUCCAAGCAGCAUCCAGUCUGCCGCUGUAAGCUACAGGGCAGCACGGUCAAGAAGGAUUUCCCCACGCCUCGGCCAAGCACCAUCCAGUCUGCUGCUGUAACCUACAGGGCAGCGCAGUCAAGAAGGAUUUCCCCACGCCUCGUCCAAGCACCAUCCAGUCUGCCGCUGGCAGCACGGUCAAGAAGGAUUUCCCCACGCCUCGGCCAAGCACCAUCCAGUCUGCCGCUGUAAGCUAAGGGCAGCACGGUCAAGAAGGAUUUCCCCAUGCCUCGUCGAAGCACCAUCCAG